UACGUAGGGCGCAAGCGUUGUCCGGAAUUAUUGGGCGUAAAGAGCUCGUAGGCGGUUUGUCGCGUCUGCUGUGAAAACUGGAGGCUCAACCUCCAGCCUGCAGUCGAUACGGGCAGGCUGGAGUUCGGUAGGGGAGACUGGAAUUCCUGGUGUAGCGGUGAAAUGCGCAGAUAUCAGGAGGAACACCGAUGGCGAAGGCAGGUCUCUGGGCCACUACUGACGCUGAGAAGCGAAAAGCAUGGGGAGCGAACAGG
This 254-nucleotide ribosomal RNA is filed under the name uncultured bacterium. Its description in RNAcentral is "partial 16S ribosomal RNA". It matches the Rfam family "Bacterial small subunit ribosomal RNA", at positions 524 to 776 of the family's 1533-position model. The record is from RNAcentral.